AUUGAACGCUGGCGGCAUGCCUUACACAUGCAAGUCGAACGGUAACGGGCCUUCGGGUGCCGACGAGUGGCGGACGGGUGAGUAAUACAUCGGAACGUGCCCGAUCGUGGGGGGUAACGGGGCGAAAGCUUUGCUAAUACCUCAUACGAUCUACGGAUGAAAGCAGGGGACCGCAAGGCCUUGCGCGGACGGUGCGGCCGAUGGCAGAUUAGGUAGUUGGUGGGAUAAAAGCUUACCAAGCCGACGAUCUGUAGCUGGUCUGAGAGGAUGAUCAGCCACACUGGGACUGAGACACGGCCCAGACUCCUACGGGAGGCAGCAGUGGGGAAUUUUGGACAAUGGGCGCAAGCCUGAUCCAGCCAUGCCGCGUGCAGGAUGAAGGCCUUCGGGUUGUAAACUGCUUUUGUACGGAACGAAAAGCCUUCUUUUAAUACAGGAGGGUCAUGACGGUACCGUAAGAAUAAGCACCGGCUAACUACGUG
This 482-nucleotide ribosomal RNA is filed under the name uncultured bacterium. RNAcentral's name for it is "partial 16S ribosomal RNA". It matches the Rfam family "Bacterial small subunit ribosomal RNA", at positions 30 to 507 of the family's 1533-position model. The record is from RNAcentral.